AGAUGAAGUAUGAUAUGACUGAGUGGCGGGACGGGUGAGUAACGCGGUGAGUCCCCUGCCCCCCCCGAGGGGGAUAGCGUUUGGAAACGAACGGUAAUACCGCAUAAUGUAUUUUGACCGCAUGAUCGAAAUACCAAAGAUUUAUCGCUGAGGGAUGGACUCGCGUCUGAUUAGGUAGUUGGUGGGGUAACGGCCUACCAAGCCGACGAUCAGUAGCCGGACUGAGAGGUUGAUCGGCCACAUUGGGACUGAGACACGGCCCAGACUCCUACGGGAGGCAGCAGUGGGGAAUAUUGCACAAUGGGCGCAAGCCCGAUGCAGCAACGCCGCGUGAAGGAAGACGGUUUUCGGAUUGUAAACUUCUGUUCUUAGUGAAGAAUAAUGACGGUAGCUAAGGAGCAAGCCACGGCUAACUACGUGCCAGCAGCCGCGGUAAUACGUAGGUGGCAAGCGUUGUCCGGAAUUACUGGGUGUAAAGGGAGCGCAGGCGGGUGAUCAAGUCAGCUGUGAAAACUACGGGCUUAACCCGUAGACUGCAGUUGAAACUGUUCAUCUUGAGUGAAGUAGAGGUUGGCGGAAUUCCGAGUGUAGCGGUGAAAUGCGUAGAUAUUCGGAGGAACACCGGUGGCGAAGGCGGCCAACUGGGCUUUAACUGACGCUGAGGCUCGAAAGUGUGGGGAGCAAACAGGAUUAGAUACCCUGGUAGUCCACACUGUAAACGAUGAUUGUUAGGGGGGGGGGGGUUUUGACCCCUUCCGUGCCGGGAGCUAACGCAAUAAGCAAUCCACCUGGGGAGUACGACCGCAAGGUUGAAACUCAAAGGAAUUGACGGGGACCCGCACAAGCAGUGGAUUAUGUGGUUUAAUUCGAAGCAACGCGAAGAACCUUACCAGCACUUGACAUCCAACUAACGAAAUAGAGAUAUAUUAGGUGCCCUUCGGGGAAAGUUGAGACAGGUGGUGCAUGGUUGUCGUCAGCUCGUGUCGUGAGAUGUUGGGUUAAGUCCCGCAACGAGCGCAACCCUCGCCAUUAGUUGCUACGCAAGAGCACUCUAAUGGGACUGCUACCGACAAGGCGGAGGAAGGUGGGGACGACGUCAAAUCAUCAUGCCCCUUAUGUGCUGGGCUACACACGUAAUACAAUGGCCAUCAACAGAGAGAAGCAAUACCGCGAGGUGGAGCAAAACUUCAAAAAUGGUCUCAGUUCGGACUGCAGGCUGCAACCCGCCUGCACGAAGUUGGAAUUGCUAGUAAUCGUGGAUCAGCAUGCCACGGUGAAUACGUUCCCGGGUCUUGCACA
Molecule: ribosomal RNA, 1299 nt
Filed under: uncultured bacterium
Lineage: Bacteria
Description: bacterial SSU rRNA
Rfam family: Bacterial small subunit ribosomal RNA
Source: RNAcentral